UGCAAGCCCGGAGAUAAGAGGCAGCAUUUCUGGAACGGGAUAAUUGGCUUCCUGUCAGAAAGCUUCAGGAGCUGUUUGUCAGGUUACAGCAGCUUUGAACGUGUUUAUCUGGGAAUCAGAAUGCGAAAACAAGAACAACAAAGAGCCCCGGCCGUGUUUACUCGAGUAGCGAUUUCUCUGCCGUCACGGCGGCUCUGACAGGAAGGAGAAACGUUAAACAGGAAGUCGUCUGGAAUCUGGGCUGCAGUUAAGGUGUUUCAACACAAUGAAGAGUUGUUGGAAUGGACACAACGCAGAAGACAAGAGGACAAACCAGAGGAAUGUCCCACAUUGACACGUGACAUAGUUCACAAUCACAGUCCCCUCUACGAGCAGGCAGAAGUCGUGCAGUCAUGUCCUCACCGACAGCGAUGGGAGAGAAAAGAGAAAUGUCUCUAUUCUACACAGAAACAGGGUCUCAGGAACAUGUAAACUACCUGGCCAUCUUUACAAUUACUGAAGGAGCCUGGUCAGUGUUUGGCUUCACCCCCAUCCAGUCC
This is a long non-coding RNA of Austrofundulus limnaeus, 539 nucleotides long. RefSeq lists it as uncharacterized. The record is from RefSeq and is a predicted model, not a curated record. The transcript is spliced from 3 exons. Lineage: Eukaryota; Metazoa; Chordata; Actinopteri; Cyprinodontiformes; Rivulidae.